CGGCAAAUAAUGGAACACGUCAACCGAACAACAAAGCUUCCCCAGCAGCUAAUUUCGGCCAAUACCAACUCCGAGGCACGCAAACAGCAAAUAAUGGAGC
Molecule: unclassified non-coding RNA, 100 nt
Filed under: plant metagenome
Description: partial contains 5.8S ribosomal RNA, internal transcribed spacer 2, and large subunit ribosomal RNA
Source: RNAcentral